AAGGGGCUUCGGUGGCCAAGUGGUUAGCGCACUUGCCUUUCACCUCUGAGGCUGCAGGUUCGAGUCUCACUAAGUACCUUCUCAGUGCGACUCGAACCCAGUCCCCAUGUGAAAAGAGUAAAAAGUCAACGCUCUGCCGAAAGCCGUGGGUUUUCCCCGGGUACUCCGGUUUCCUCCCACAGGGAAAGUUGACAGGGUGGGUUAGGUAAAAAAAGGCCCACAGUAAUUGGCAUAUGCUGUUGUGGUGACCCUGCCCUAGUUGGCAAAGCUAAAUAAAUAAAUAAAUAAAUAAAUGCUUUCAUGGGAA
Molecule: long non-coding RNA, 307 nt
Filed under: Paramuricea clavata
Lineage: Eukaryota; Metazoa; Cnidaria; Anthozoa; Malacalcyonacea; Plexauridae
Source: RNAcentral